AACGAACGCUGGCGGCGCGCCUAAUACAUGCAAGUCGAGCGAGAAGACGUAGCAAUACGUUUGUAAAGCGGCGAACGGGUGAGGAAUACAUGGGUAACCUACCCUCGAGUGGGGAAUAACUAGCCGAAAGGUUAGCUAAUACCGCGUACGCUCCUUGGACUUCGGUUCAGGGAGGAAAGCGAUACCGUGGGUAUCGCGCUCUUGGAUGGGCUCAUGUCCUAUCAGCUUGUUGGUGAGGAACGGCUCACCAAGGCUUCGACGGGUAGCUGGCCUGAGAGGACGAUCAGCCACACUGGCACUGCGACACGGGCCAGACUCCUACGGGAGCAGCAGUAAGGAAUAUUGCGCAAUGGGCGAAAGCCUGACGCAGCGACGCCGCGUGGGGGAUGAAGGUCUUCGGAUU
Molecule: ribosomal RNA, 403 nt
Filed under: uncultured bacterium
Lineage: Bacteria
Description: bacterial SSU rRNA
Rfam family: Bacterial small subunit ribosomal RNA
Source: RNAcentral